RNAcentral lists this ribosomal RNA (796 nucleotides) under uncultured bacterium. RNAcentral's name for it is "bacterial SSU rRNA". It matches the Rfam family "Bacterial small subunit ribosomal RNA", at positions 66 to 859 of the family's 1533-position model. The record is from RNAcentral.
GGCAGCACGAUGUAGCAAUACAUUGGUGGCGACCGGCGCACGGGUGAGUAACGCGUAUGCAACCUACCUAUCAGAGGGGAAUAACCCGGCGAAAGUCGGACUAAUACCGCAUAAAACAGGGGUUCCACAUGGAAAUAUUUGUUAAAGAAUUAUCGCUGAUAGAUGGGCAUGCGUUCCAUUAGAUAGUUGGUGAGGUAACGGCUCACCAAGUCCACGAUGGAUAGGGGUUCUGAGAGGAAGGUCCCCCACACUGGUACUGAGACACGGACCAGACUCCUACGGGAGGCAGCAGUGAGGAAUAUUGGUCAAUGGGCGAGAGCCUGAACCAGCCAAGUCGCGUGAAGGAUGAAGGAUCUAUGGUUUGUAAACUUCUUUUAUAUGGGAAUAAAGUGAGGAACGUGUUCCUUUUUGUAUGUACCAUAUGAAUAAGCAUCGGCUAACUCCGUGCCAGCAGCCGCGGUAAUACGGAGGAUGCGAGCGUUAUCCGGAUUUAUUGGGUUUAAAGGGUGCGUAGGUGGUUAAUUAAGUCAGCGGUGAAAGUUUGUGGCUCAACCAUAAAAUUGCCGUUGAAACUGGUUGACUUGAGUAUAUUUGAGGUAGGCGGAAUGCGUGGUGUAGCGGUGAAAUGCAUAGAUAUCACGCAGAACUCCGAUUGCGAAGGCAGCUUACUAAACUAUAACUGACACUGAAGCACGAAAGCGUGGGGAUCAAACAGGAUUAGAUACCCUGGUAGUCCACGCAGUAAACGAUGAUUACUAGCUGUUUGCGAUACACAGUAAGCGGCACAGCGAAAGCG